Molecule: ribosomal RNA, 2785 nt
Filed under: Cronobacter sakazakii
Lineage: Bacteria; Pseudomonadati; Pseudomonadota; Gammaproteobacteria; Enterobacterales; Enterobacteriaceae
Description: bacterial LSU rRNA
Rfam family: Bacterial large subunit ribosomal RNA
Source: RNAcentral
AGCGUACACGGUGGAUGCCCUGGCAGUCAGAGGCGAUGAAGGACGUGCUAAUCUGCGAAAAGCGCCGGUAAGGUGAUAUGAACCGUUAUAACCGGCGAUGUCCGAAUGGGGAAACCCGGUGCACUUCGGUGCAUCAUCGUUAGCUGAAUACAUAGGCUAACGAGGCGAACCGGGGGAACUGAAACAUCUAAGUACCCCGAGGAAAAGAAAUCAACCGAGAUUCCCCCAGUAGCGGCGAGCGAACGGGGAACAGCCCAGAGCCUGAAUCAGCUUGUGUGUCAGUGGAACGGUCUGGAAAGGCCGGCGAUACAGGGUGACAGCCCCGUACACGAAGGCACACAGGCUGUGAGCUCGAUGAGUAGGGCGGGACACGUGAUAUCCUGUCUGAAGAUGGGGGGACCAUCCUCCAAGGCUAAAUACUCCUGACUGACCGAUAGUGAACCAGUACCGUGAGGGAAAGGCGAAAAGAACCCCGGCGAGGGGAGUGAAACAGAACCUGAAACCGUGUACGUACAAGCAGUGGGAGCCUUCGUAAGAGGGUGACUGCGUACCUUUUGUAUAAUGGGUCAGCGACUUAUAUUCUGUAGCAAGGUUAACCGUAUAGGGGAGCCGAAGGGAAACCGAGUCUUAACCGGGCGUUAAGUUGCAGGGUAUAGACCCGAAACCCGGUGAUCUAGCCAUGGGCAGGUUGAAGGUUGGGUAACACUAACUGGAGGACCGAACCGACUAAUGUUGAAAAAUUAGCGGAUGACCUGUGGCUGGGGGUGAAAGGCCAAUCAAACCGGGAGAUAGCUGGUUCUCCCCGAAAGCUAUUUAGGUAGCGCCUCGUGAACUCAUCUCCGGGGGUAGAGCACUGUUUCGGCUAGGGGGCCAUCCCGGCUUACCAACCCGAUGCAAACUGCGAAUACCGGAGAAUGUUAUCACGGGAGACACACGGCGGGUGCUAACGUCCGUCGUGAAGAGGGAAACAACCCAGACCGCCAGCUAAGGUCCCAAAGUCAUGGUUAAGUGGGAAACGAUGUGGGAAGGCCCAGACAGCCAGGAUGUUGGCUUAGAAGCAGCCAUCAUUUAAAGAAAGCGUAAUAGCUCACUGGUCGAGUCGGCCUGCGCGGAAGAUGUAACGGGGCUAAACCAUGCACCGAAGCUGCGGCAGCGACACUGUGUGUUGUUGGGUAGGGGAGCGUUCUGUAAGCCUGCGAAGGUGUGCUGUGAGGCAUGCUGGAGGUAUCAGAAGUGCGAAUGCUGACAUAAGUAACGAUAAAGCGGGUGAAAAGCCCGCUCGCCGGAAGACCAAGGGUUCCUGUCCAACGUUAAUCGGGGCAGGGUGAGUCGACCCCUAAGGCGAGGCCGAAAGGCGUAGUCGAUGGGAAACAGGUUAAUAUUCCUGUACUUGGUGUUACUGCGAAGGGGGGACGGAGAAGGCUAUGUCGGCCGGGCGACGGUUGUCCCGGUUUAAGCGUGUAGGCUGACUUUCCAGGCAAAUCCGGAAGGUUAAGGCUGAGGCGUGAUGACGAGGCACCACGGUGCUGAAGUGACAAAUGCCCUGCUUCCAGGAAAAGCCUCUAAGCAUCAGGUAACAUCAAAUCGUACCCCAAACCGACACAGGUGGUCAGGUAGAGAAUACCAAGGCGCUUGAGAGAACUCGGGUGAAGGAACUAGGCAAAAUGGUGCCGUAACUUCGGGAGAAGGCACGCUGACAUGUAGGUGAAGCCCCUGCGGGUGGAGCUGAAGUCAGUCGAAGAUACCAGCUGGCUGCAACUGUUUAUUAAAAACACAGCACUGUGCAAACACGAAAGUGGACGUAUACGGUGUGACGCCUGCCCGGUGCCGGAAGGUUAAUUGAUGGGGUUAUCGCAAGAGAAGCUCCUGAUCGAAGCCCCGGUAAACGGCGGCCGUAACUAUAACGGUCCUAAGGUAGCGAAAUUCCUUGUCGGGUAAGUUCCGACCUGCACGAAUGGCGUAAUGAUGGCCAGGCUGUCUCCACCCGAGACUCAGUGAAAUUGAACUCGCUGUGAAGAUGCAGUGUACCCGCGGCAAGACGGAAAGACCCCGUGAACCUUUACUACAGCUUGACACUGAACAUUGAGCCUUGAUGUGUAGGAUAGGUGGGAGGCUUUGAAGCGUGGACGCCAGUCUGCGUGGAGCCAACCUUGAAAUACCACCCUUUAAUGUUUGAUGUUCUAACCUGGCGCCGUAAUCCGGCGUGGGGACAGUGUCUGGUGGGUAGUUUGACUGGGGCGGUCUCCUCCCAAAGUGUAACGGAGGAGCACGAAGGUCAGCUAAUCCUGGUCGGACAUCAGGAGGUUAGUGCAAUGGCAUAAGCUGGCUUGACUGCGAGAGUGACGGCUCGAGCAGGUGCGAAAGCAGGUCAUAGUGAUCCGGUGGUUCUGUAUGGAAGGGCCAUCGCUCAACGGAUAAAAGGUACUCCGGGGAUAACAGGCUGAUACCGCCCAAGAGUUCAUAUCGACGGCGGUGUUUGGCACCUCGAUGUCGGCUCAUCACAUCCUGGGGCUGAAGUAGGUCCCAAGGGUAUGGCUGUUCGCCAUUUAAAGUGGUACGCGAGCUGGGUUUAGAACGUCGUGAGACAGUUCGGUCCCUAUCUGCCGUGGGCGCUGGAGAAUUGAGGGGGGCUGCUCCCAGUACGAGAGGACCGGAGUGGACGCAUCACUGGUGUUCGGGUUGUCAUGCCAAUGGCACUGCCCGGUAGCUAAAUGCGGAAGAGAUAAGUGCUGAAAGCAUCUAAGCACGAAACUUGCCCCGAGAUGAGUUCUCCCUGACUCCUUGA